CCUACGGGAGGCAGCAGUGGGGAAUUUUGGACAAUGGGGGCAACCCUGAUCCAGCAACGCCGCGUGAAUGAAGAAGGCCUUAGGGUUGUAAAGUUCUUUUGUCUGGGAGCAAAAGUUAUGGGGUAAUAUACCAUGAUUAUGAGAGUACCAGAAGAAUAAGCACCGGCUAACUACGUGCCAGCAGCCGCGGUAAUACGUAGGGUGCGAGCGUUAAUCGGAAUUACUGGGCGUAAAGAGUGCGUAGGCGGAUAAACAAGUUAGAUGUGAAAUCCCCGGGCUCAACCUGGGAAUGGCAUUUAAGACUGUGUGUCUAGAGUUUGUGAGAGGGUGGUAGAAUUCCAAGUGUAGCAGUGAAAUGCGUAGAGAUUUGGAGGAAUACCGAUGGCGAAGGCAGCCACCUGGGAUAGAACUGACGCUGAGGCACGAAAGCGUGGGGAGCAAACAGGAUUAGAUACCCUGGUAGUCCACGCCCUAAACGAUGUCUACUUGCUGUUGGAGGGUGAAACCUUAAGUAGCGAAGCUAACGCGAGAAGUAGACCGCCUGGGGAGUACGGUCGCAAGCAUA
This 565-nucleotide ribosomal RNA is filed under the name uncultured beta proteobacterium. RNAcentral describes it as "bacterial SSU rRNA". It matches the Rfam family "Bacterial small subunit ribosomal RNA", at positions 338 to 896 of the family's 1533-position model. The record is from RNAcentral. Lineage: Bacteria; Pseudomonadati; Pseudomonadota; Betaproteobacteria.